This 229-nucleotide ribosomal RNA is filed under the name uncultured bacterium. RNAcentral describes it as "partial 16S ribosomal RNA". It matches the Rfam family "Bacterial small subunit ribosomal RNA", at positions 524 to 752 of the family's 1533-position model. The record is from RNAcentral.
UACGAAGGGGGCUAGCGUUGCUCGGAAUUACUGGGCGUAAAGGGAGCGUAGGCGGAUAGUUUAGUCAGAGGUGAAAGCCCAGGGCUCAACCUUGGAAUUGCCUUUGAUACUGGCUAUCUUGAGUACGGAAGAGGUAUGUGGAACUCCGAGUGUAGAGGUGAAAUUCGUAGAUAUUCGGAAGAACACCAGUGGCGAAGGCGACAUACUGGUCCGUUACUGACGCUGAGGC